CGCGUAGGUGGCCUGUUAAGUCGAACGUGAAAUCCCCGGGCUCAACCCGGGAACUGCGUCCGAGACUGGCAGGCUCGGAUCCGGGAGAGGGAUGUGGAAUUCCAGGUGUAGCGGUGAAAUGCGUAGAUAUCUGGAGGAACACCGGUGGCGAAGGCGGCAUCCUGGACCGGUAUUGACGCUGAGGCGCGAAAGCCAGGGGAGCAAACGGGAUUAGAUACCCCGGUAGUCCUGGCCCUAAACGAUGAAUGCUUGGUGUGGCGGGUAUCGAUCCCUGCCGUGCCGAAGCUAACGCAUUAAGCAUUCCGCCUGGGGAGUACGGUCGCAAGGCUGAA
This 332-nucleotide ribosomal RNA is filed under the name uncultured bacterium. Its description in RNAcentral is "bacterial SSU rRNA". It matches the Rfam family "Bacterial small subunit ribosomal RNA", at positions 568 to 898 of the family's 1533-position model. The record is from RNAcentral.